Rattus norvegicus (Norway rat) is the source of this 12300-nucleotide non-coding RNA. Lineage: Eukaryota; Metazoa; Chordata; Mammalia; Rodentia; Muridae. The record is from RefSeq and is a predicted model, not a curated record.
GCUCAGUGGUUGAGAGUAUGUGCUGCUCUUCCCGAGGACCUCAGCUCCUGUCUCAGAACUCAGACUCACAAUCACCUGUAAGUCCAGUCCCAGCGCAUCUGAUGCCUCUCGCCUCCUUGGGCCCCUGUACUCAUGUGAACCCACCUUGCAGUACAUAUAACUAAAAAUAAAAGAAUCUUAAAAAAUAAAAAUGAUGUAAGGUUACUUAAAGAGGCCUUGUGAAGCACAUGACCCAUAACGUAAAUAUCUUGGAUGAAUAUUUGAAAACAGGGGAGAUAUGCUCCUGUUAUACCACUCAGGAAAUAAGACACAAAAUACUUUUAUUUUGGAAACAUUUAUUUUAUUUAUGUGUGUCCGAGUGAGCACUUUCGAUUGGUGAGACAGCUCUCUAGCUUCCAAAAUAUGUUGUCUCGUCUGAUCCUAAGCAUCGUGAGCAACCGUGAGUGCUGUACGCAUCUCCCGUCAUUUCUAUUUGUGCCUUUCCACCAGUUACCUCCUCUCAGGCACCUCGCUUCCUCUUGGGUGUCUUCUACGCCUCAAAGAAUCCCCUCCACUUCAUGUCUUAGAACAAUCUAGAUUGCACAGACGAGAGAAAGCAUGAUAUUUGUCUUUUCGAGCUUGGCUUAUUUUGCUUAAAAUGACAAUUCCUACUUCCAUCUAUUAUCCUGCCAUACUCCCGUGACAUGAAAUCCCUUCCCUUUUUUAUGGCUAAAUAAUAUACCACUGUGCUUGUGUGUGCACGCACACACUCCCACAUGCACACACGCACACUCACACCUCAUCCCGUUUUUCUUUGACACGUUGUGGGUGUCUAGGCCGGUCCCUUCACUUUGCUGUUGUGAGUAAUGCAGCCAUAAGCACGAACGUGCAGGUGUCUGUGCUGCGCUGACUUGGGCUCCUUUGGGUGUACACCUAGAGUGGCAUAGCUGGUUUGUAUGCAAGUUGUAUUUUUAGCUUUCUUGAGGAACCUCCACACUGAUUUCCACAGUGGCUAUACCAGUUUGCAUUCCCAUCAGUGUUAAGUAAGUCUCCCUCCCCGUCCCUGCUGGCAUUUAUUGCCACUUGUUUUCUUGAUGAUAGUCAUUCCGACAUGCAGAUGAGAAUGGAAUCUCACUGCAGUUUUGAUUUGCAUUCUCCUUAUGGGUGAGGAUGCUGAACACAGCAUCCUCCGUGAGUUACUGGGCCUGAGUUUCUUAGUCAAGGCAGCCCACCUUGUAAAUGCCCGCACGCCAAAGGUGUUUCCACAUCACCCAGAGCAAGAACUGACAGGUGGUUGGCAGGCAGCUUCUCAGUGGCACUGGUGGUGAAGAGUGGGCUGGCACUAACGGGCACUGAGCAAUGUGCCAACAGCUUAACAGUGGCCGAAGAGAAACAGAAACUAGCAAGAUCUGUAGCUGCUGCAGGGAGACACCCAGGGUGCACUCAGAAAUCUGUCUAAACUGUGAGAUACUCUUCUCACUCUGAGGACUCUUGGAAACACACACACAGGAGGGAUACCUGGUGCUAGCCACCCAGCGAAUGACAGAAAAUCUAGGAAGAUGGAGCCCUGGGGGCUAAUUACAUUAUAGAGACUCCAUAUGAAUAUGAACAGUGGCUAACCUCUGGGCUAGCAUAGUUUGGAGUCUUCUCUUUAUUCUGAUCAAUAAGUCACUGGCUUCAUGGUACCCAUUGGAGACCCUUUCAAGUUCUUUCUGGCUUUGGGGAUACUCAAAGAAAGAGAAAACAUCAGAAAGACAGGGUUUGUGUCCUCAUGAGUCUCCCAGGUGAGAGGACAGGGACGGAAGAAAGCCAUGGGAGCAGGUAGGUUAAGCCUGGGAGCAUUCACAGCCAGACAUGAUGGUGAAUGUGAGUGUGUUUGUAAGAAGACUCCUUCCCCACUUGCCUCCCUCCCUCCCUCCCUUCCUCCCUCCCUCCCUCUCUCUUCUUAUUUUUCUUCCCUUUUCUCUCUGUUCUUUCUUCUUUCCUUCUCUUUGUUUCUUUGUAUGUGUGUGUGUGCGCAAGCAUAUGUGUGUGUGUGUGUGUGUGUGUGUGUGUGUGUGUGUGUGUGUGCGUGUGUUAUAGGUGUGGGGGUUUGUGUGGAGGUCCAAGGACAACCUUGGGUGUCAUUACUCACCUUCUGCUUUUGAGAGGGUUUCUCUUUAGACUGGAACUUCACCAAAUAGGCUAGGCCUAGCUAUAUACUGAGCUCCAGUAAUCCCCCAGGCUCUGCCUCUGUCUCGCCGCUGCUGGGAUUAUAAGUGUCCACUAUUGUGCCUGGCUGUUUUUUUCUGAUUUUUCAAGACAGGGUUUCUCUGUGUAGUCCUGGCUGUCCUGGAUCGCACUCUAUAGACCAGGCUGGCCUCGAACUCUGAGAUCCACCUGCCUCACCUCCUGAGUAUUGUUUUAGCAUGAGUCUGAAUAUCCAAGUCAGGUUCUCACACUUAAAAGGCAAGUUGUUUUAUCAACUGAGCCAACUCCUAAUCCUAAAAAGAUUUUCCUAUCAAAAUAGACAGAAUCCCAACAAAUUGGCUUAAAAACAUGAUUUGGGGUUGAAGAUGUGACUUGGAGGUAGCCUGAUGGAGGAUUGUAGCAUCCACAGGUCCAAACCUCCACAGGUCCGAGCCUUUCCCAUAUUGGUUAGCCUAGUACUCAUUAGUCUGCUCUUAGUUGUGGCCUGGGCCUUAGAGUGUACUGGGCAGCCUUAACUGGGGUUGGGGUGGAGGUGGGAAGACGGCAGUCCCUGAUCUCCUACUGUCCACUUUUAGAAUUUUUUGGCCAUUUUUAGAAUCUCUUAUCAUCUCAAUUUAUUUUGGAAAAAAAAAGUCAGCUCUAUUACACUGUGCUGGAAACCUUUACUUGAUGUUUUUAAAUAAAGGGAACAGGAAGUGCAGUCAACCUGCUCUAGUGUCCCUCACCUUUAAUCCCAGAACUCAAGAGCCAGAAACAUGUGGACAUGUGUGACUUUAAGGAUAGCCUAGUCUAAAUACUGAGUUUCAACCCAGCUGGAGUUAUAUAGUGAGACCCUGGAGAGAUGUAAGAAAGAGUGGGUUGGGGUGGAAGGGAAGAGAGAGAGAGAGAGAGAGAGAGAGAGAGAGAGAGAGAGAGAGAGAGAGAGAGAGAGGAGUUAGCUUCUUGUGCUUAGUGUUCUCUUGACUCUGACCCCGAGAAGGAUUAACCCCAUCUUAUUUAGUACCAUGGAUGGGUGUUUGAGUGAAAUCUCAUCUUCUGUCCCAUUGAAGGAAUUCAGCAGAUCUUCAAGAUUGAUCUGCUUCUCAAAACCUUUGAAGGUAUGCAACAGAAAAUAGUGUCAGUACGAGAAUAUGUGAUCCCCAAACUCAGCCUUAUAGAAAGAAAAAAAUAAACAGAGCUUGAUGGCUCAGCAGGUAAAGGCACUUGCUACCAAGCCAGAUAGCCUGAGUUCAGUCAUUCCUUGGGACCCACCUGGUGGAAGGAGAGAACUGACUUCUGCAAAUUUUCCUUGGACCUCCACAAGUGUGCCAUGGCACCACCCUGCCCCUCCACAGACACACACACAGACACAAAUACCACACAUGCAUGUACUACACACAUAUACACACACACACCACUACACACCACACACAUACACACCGAACAUACACCACACACACACACACCCACACACACACCCACACACACAUACACACCACACAUACAUACCACAUACACACACAGACACACUUCUUCCCACAGGUACACACACACACACACCACACAGACAUACACACACACACAUACAUCCACCACAUAUAUACCACACACACAUAUGUACCACAUAAAUACCACACAUACACACCUCUCACACACACACAUAUAUACCACAUACACACACACCACACACACACACACACCACACAUACACACCACACAUACAUACCACAUACACACACACACACACACACCACACAUACACACCACACAUACAUACCACAUACACACACACACCACACAUACAUACCACACAUACAUACCACAUACACACACACACACAUGCAAACACACACACACACCACACAUACAUACCACAUACACACACAUACACACACACCACACAUACACACCACACAUACAUACCACACAUACAUACCACAUACACACACACAUACACACACACACACCACACAUACACACCACACAUACACACCACACAUACACACCACACACACACACCACACACACACCACACACAUACACACACACACACAUACACACACACACCACACAUACACACCACACAUACAUACCACAUACACACACACACACCACACACACACACACACACACACACACACACACACACACACACACACACACACACACUUCCCCCCACAGGUACACCCUGGACAGAGCAUCUUGAGUUAACACAGCUUCUCCCACAUACCUGCUGUGUGAUAUUGGCUGGAUUGUCAUGUUGCAUUCCUAUAUACCUUCGAGCUUCAUAAUGUUUCCCCACUGUAUGAAAGAGGAAACUUGUCUGGAUCAGCAUUCAGCUUCUCUAGUGAGGGUACUCGGGUGUCCUGAGGGGACCCUUCAGCUCAGUGGUGCUAACACAGGUGUUAAGUGCAUUCUGUGGAUUGAAAGAGCUGCAGCGUGUCCUGUGUUCACAAACAGGCUCUGAAAAAGUUCAUCGGGCCCAGGGUGCUUUCAGAACAAGAAUAGGGGACUUCACCCCCCACCCCUGUUCAGAAGCCAGACAAAAACCGUGCUCUCCGAUGGCAGCAUCUGCCUUCCUCCACUCUCUGUUUUGAACCUUGGCCUUUGUUUCCCCCUACCCCUUUCCUCACGGUCCCAUUUUUAGUAGUGUACUUUGUGAGUUUUUUCAAAAACUUUGAAUGUAUGAUUGUUAUAACUUCUUUGCAUUGAUUUUCAUCCUUUUCUUUCAAAUCGCAUCUAUUUUUGUCUUUUUAUCUCAGCCUUGUUUUAUGGAAAUUUCAACAAAAGAAUUAUUUCAUCUUAAGUGUCUAGUCUCUUAAUUCUCUCUCCUCCUCAUAUUUUUAGCAUUUUUAUUAUCCACAUUAAACUUUUAAUAGACUUAUGUAAAUGCAGAUGUGCACAAGAUGAAGAAAACUCCUCCUCUCAGCCUGCUCCUUAAAGGUAACCACUGCAAACACCUGGGCGACCACUCUGAUUUUAUUCCCCCAUAAACAGAUACAUCACCUAAGCACAUUCACUUUUAUAGAACGAGCUCAUGCAGUUCGCCCAUUCUUGUUCUCCUUAUAAACCUCAUUUGUUCCCUUUGCUUUUCCCCCCUCUAAGGAUGUGGACUAAAGCUGAUCUUUGGGCAGGCAAGAAUUGACUUCCACAAGUUGUCCUCUGACCUUUACACAUGCAUGAACACACACACACACACACACACACACACACACAAAUACAAUAAAAAAUCAUCACUUCAACUUAUGAUGGGGAUGGAACCCAGGGCAUCAGACACGCUAGCUAAGGGCUUGACCACUGACUCUCUCCUAGCUCUGGUUUCAGUAUUGACUCCAAGUCUUAUACUUUGAUUAUUUGUGUAGUGGGGAGAUAGGCUGCCUGCUUGAUUGACAUGCUUUCUGAGUGUUUUCUCUUUAUUUCCUCCCUGCAUGGUGAUCUGAUCUCAUUUGGGCCAUCGGAAUGAAGCACCUGUCCUAAGAAUGAACAUUUCAGGAGAGCUGUUGGGGCUCUAGGCAGGCUGUGCUGGCAGUGGAGACACUAUGGACCGUUCAGAAUGUGGACCUGGCUGGGGGAAGUAAGUCACUAGCUGUGGGUCUUUACAUGUUAUACCUUCCCUGGUUCCUGCCUUGCUCUCUGCUAUCUGUCCUUUGUGAUGUGAACCAUUUUCCCCAUGAGUUCUUGCUGCCAUGAUCUGAGCUGCCCUGCCAUGCAUCUCUACCCUGCCUCCAAGUGAUUCUGAUGCCGCUCCCGUCCACAGUAUAAAGCCCUGAUCUACUGUAAUUUUCCUUAAACAAAUACUCACAAAUGACUUAGGCCAUAGAGUAAGUCAGUAGCAGAGAUGGACUCAAGGAUGUGCUUUUCUUAUUAUAGAAGUCUGUGUCCUUCAGGAUUGGACCAAUCCCAUAGACACUAGUGGAGUCUAGAGGAAUGCAAAGCUCUAACUGGUCGGGUAGGACAGUUAAGCAUGAUGGUCAGCCUGAUAGUGUUAUGAGACACCUUGGAGAACAGUAAAUACAGUUCUGCUGAAUUCUCUGGGGUUCCCAGAGAGGCUUGAAACAUAGGAGAGCAUCUCAGUAUGGAGGAUCUGGUACAAAUGUGGGCGUCAUCUCUAGUAACAGUUCUCAAUCUGUGGACUGUGACCCCUUUGGGGGGGGGUGUCGAAAACAGUAAAACUCAUAACAGUAGCAAAGUUGUAGUUAUGAAGCAGCAGCACAAAUAAUUUCCCGGCUGGGGAGGGGGUCACUACAACACGAGGAACUGUAUACAAGGAUUGUAGCAUUAGGAAGGUUGAGAAGCACUGCUCUAGAUUACAGUCCAGAUGUCACUUUCUUAGAGACCUGUUCUAGAAUGGCAUUUUCCACCAUUACUAUCUCUUUCUAUUCUCCAUACUGCUGCUCAGAAUCCAAAUUAUCAUGACCAUAGGGUGAAAUAUCACUUAUCUUAUCUCUGUAGCCUCAAGUAACAGAGGAAGCCAGCACAGGUGAGUUCCACUCUCCCUCAGAGUAUCCAGUGAUGUCGCUGCAUUUGGACAUCAGACCCUAGCUUUUUUUGGACUUUCUUCAUACCAGUGACUCUUCAGAGAGCUUCCAGGCCUUCAGGUUCCAACUGGGGCUGUAUCAUCCGUUCCCUUAUCCCGAGACAUCCAGCUUCUUAGAUCAAAUAGCUACUUGUUUCUUUGCAGGCUGUAGAUGGAGAGUGCUAUUGUCCAAUUAUUAGCCUAGAACCACAUGGGGCAAGCCAGUAAAUCUUCACAUACAUGCUAUUGCUCUAUUUCUUUAGAGCAUAGCUAUUAAACUAAACACAAACCAUUACGGGGUAACUGCACAUGGGGGUCAUGAAAACUUUAUCAACGGUAAAAGGUUUCUGUUUUUCUCAAUGACCAAAAAUUAAUCAAUUCGAAUCCAUCAAAUUUGCAACUCGUCCUGGCGUUCCUGGGAGUUGCAUCACGACCUCAGUGCCUAUUCUGAAUACAGAAGCACUUUGUAGUUCGAAUGCCAUCAGUCUCACUAGGCUGAUGAAUGCUGCCCGGACCACCUCAGCUCAGAUUUGAGACAUUUUUAUUUAUGAGCUGUGGUGUUUUUACUGUACAAGCAAAGCUUUCAGCUCUUAUAGGAACUUAAUGAUCUAAUUAUGGAAAACAGGCUUUUAAUACUUUCCCACUGUCGGUAUGUGAGUAUCAAAUCCAUAUAUCUCUGGAGUAUAUUGUGUUAGAAUGUUUGAUUUUAGAAAUUAAUGUUUGAAUUGUUAAUUUACAUCUCAUAAAAAAAUUCAAUGAAUUUUGGCUUGUGGUUAGGACAGAAUUUCUUACUUACUUUGUUUUUGUUGUUAUUAGUUUUGUUUUGCCUUUUAAAAAAAUAGAUAUUUUAUUUAUUUAAAUUUCAAAUGUUAUCCCCUUUCCUGGUUUACCCUCUACAAACCCCCUAUCCCAUUCCUCCUUACCCUGCUUCUAUCAGGGUGCUUCCCCACCCACCCACUCUCACCUCAAUACCCUAACAUUCCUCUACACUGGGGCAUCAAGCCUUCCCAGGACCCAGGGCCUCCCCUCCCAUUGAUGCCAGAUAAGGCCCUUUCAGCUCCUUAAGCCCUUCCCCCAACUCCUCCAUUAAGGUCUCUGUGAUCAGUCUAAUGGUUGGCUUUGAGUGUCCGCAUCUGUAUUGGUCAGGACCUGGCAGAGCCUCUCAGGAGACAGCUGAUCAGCCUCCUGUCAGCAAACACUUCUUGGCAUCAGCAAUAGUGUCUGGGUUUGGUGACUGCAUGUGGGAUGGAUCCCCGGGUGGGGCAGUCUCUGGAUGACUUUUCCUUCAGUCUCUGCUCCAUACACUGUCGCUGUAUUUCCUUUAGACAGGAGCCAUUCUGGGUUGAAAUUUUGGAGAUGGGUGGGUGGCCUCAUUCCUCAACCUGGAGGGCCAUGCCUAACCUCUGGAUAUGGUCUCGACGGGUUCUUCCUUUGUGGGGUAUUUCAGCUAAUAUCAUCCCUGAGGGGUCCUGGCAGGCUCUUGGUUUCUUGGUAUCUGGGACUUUCUGGUUGCUACCCCCAGUUCCCUAUCCUCCAUUGCUACAUACCUCUGUUCAAUCCCUCUGUACAUCUCCACCAUCUCCUCCCACACCUGAUUCUGCCCCUCUUUUCCCCCUCCCCGUCCUCUCUUCCUCCCAAGUCCCUCCCACUCUCUACUUUCCUUGUUUAUUUUGUUCCCCCUUCUAAGUAGAACUGAAGCAUCCACUCUUUGGUCUUCCUUCCUCUUGAGUGGUCUGUAAGUUGUAUCAAGAGUAUUCCAAGCUCUAUGCCUAAUAUCUGCUGAUUAGCAAGUACAUACCAUGUGUGUUCUUUUGUGAGUGAGUUACUCACUCAGGAUGAUAUUUUCUAGAUCCAUCCAUUUGCCUGUGAAUUUCAUGAAGUCAUUGCUUUAAAUAACUGUGUAGUAUUGUUUUGUUUUUUUGAGACAGGGUAGCCUUGGCUGUCCUAGAACUUACUUUGUAGGACAGGUUGGCCUUGAACUCAGGAAUCUGCCUGCUUGUGCCUCCAAAGUGCUGAGAUUAAAGGUGUGCACAGCUACUGCCUGGCCCAAAAGUGUAACUUUUAAUAUAAAAAGCAAUGUUUCCUUUAAUAAAUGGUAAACUUAUUAUAUGCCUAUCAAAUAAUUUUUUGAGACAGGGUCUUAUAUAGUUCAGGCUGGUCUCAAAGUAGUUGGGCAUCUGAGGAUGACCUUGAAUUCUUUUACUUGUUUGUGUUGUACGUGUGUUGUAUACGUAUGCUAUGUGUGGGUGCAUGCCCAUUUGUUCAUAGGAUGAUUCCAGGUCGUCUGUUUUAUGAUAAGUCUGAGACAGGGUCUUUCACUGAACCCGGAGCUAGGAGUCAGUCAGUAAGAUCUCCCUGUAUCUACCUCCCUCCCCAGUGCUAGUUACAGGCAGCUGCGUCAUUCCUGGCUUUUUGCAUGGGUUCUGGGGAUUCGAUCUCAGGACUUCAUGCUUGCUCAGCAAGUGCUCUGACCCAUGAAGGCAUUUCUUAUAUAUAUAUAUAUUUUUUUUCUUCUUUUUUUCAGAGCUGGGGACCGAACCCAGGGCCUUGCGCUUGCUAGGCAAGCGCUCUACCACUGAGCUAAAUCCCCAACCCCAUUUCUUAUAUUUUUAAUUGUGAGCUUAACUUUGGUGGCUGGAGCCAUCUUUCCAGCCCUAGGAAGGCAUUUCUUUAGCCCAUGACCAUGAACUCUUAAAUUUUAAAAAUUCUAUUUAACUAUUUAUUUGCGUGUGCAGGUGUGGACAUGCUAUGGUGGAGGUCAUAGGACAACUUGUGCUCUGUGUUUCCACAGUGCGGGUCCAAGGUUAUUAUGCUCUACAACAAGCACCCUUACCUGCCAAGUCCUGAACCUUCCUGGGUUCUGAGGGUGGAGGUGAAUCAGCACAUGCCCUUAAAGUUCCCCCCAUUAAGUUUGAACUGUGGUUUACAAGAUGAGUUGGCUUUUCCCAUGGUGUACCAAUUCUUCAGCACUAGUGGAUUCUCCCACAGUUUAAUUCAAAAUUGAUAGCGUGUAUGAGGAGUUAAGAGCUUAGUCUGUCUUGUCUCAUUCCCGCGAGACUUGCAGAUGCUGCAGUGUAUUCAGCUCCACGAGCCACAGGGCUUAAGGUUGUUGUUGUCUUAAUGAAAGUUUCAUUAUGUAGGCACGAUCAAUUAAGUCAUAAGCCAUUGGUGACUAACUCGAUUUUCAGCCUUUCCCCUUUCUGGAGGGCCUGAAAAUUCUGGCAAACCGUUCUCCAUCCCGAAGCUGUCUAGGCCCUCUAAAAGACUCCUCAUUAAUUAGUAUAAAUUUAGAGUGUUUAGAAGGGGCUUAUGAAUAAUAAAUGGAAAUUCAACGCAGGGAAUUUUAAGGGUUCAGGAGCUCCAGUGAUGGAAACUGGAAGUGAAGAGUAAGUUUGUAUUAUGUCACAGUCUCUUCACCCGAAAACAAACAGAAGGGCAAGUGGUUGCAUGGAGCCUCAAACUAUGUGUUCUCUCAGGAGCCAGAUGCUGGGGUGAGAGCCUGCUACCUCAGAUGCAGAGAAAGCAGCCAGUGGACCUUCCCCCUCAGGUGACCUCCCACCAGCAAUGCCCCUCUCUCACACAGGCUCAAAAAAACCUCUUUCAAAUGGAAUCUCCCUCCCUUUUACUUCCUUAGUGCCUCUCUAGCCUCCUGACUUCCUUUUACUCUCUAUGGUUUUUUUCUUAAUAAUCCUUUGCUCACUUUCUGUCACCUAGCUGCUUGCUCUGCCUCUUGACCAGUGGUUGACUUUAUUUGUUCUUAUUUACCAGAAAGUUCUUGGAUUAAAGGAGUGUGCUAAGGCUGAGCCAUACCACAAUUAAAAACAGGUAAAUACCACCAUCUCGGAGUUCAUAGUAUAAUCAAUAUUCUCCAAUGGGGAGGCCAGACUUUGCUGGGGAGAGUGCAAUGAGCUACUUAGAUAAAACCAUAUACUCUGAGGGGUGGAUUCAGGUUCAAAUGCUCAUCUGCUAUGUGACACUGGCAACCUUAUGUAGCCUCAGCUAUAAAGGGAGGGCACUCACUCCAUAGAAUGAUCCCACAGGGCCAUUAUAAAGACCAGGAGAGAUGAUGGCCACAGUUAAAGUUCCAAGCCCAGCACCUGUCAUGUUCAAGAGUUCACGAAAUGCAUCUUCUCCAUCUUGGAAUGUGGGGAGAGGCUGUGUAUUUCUGACCCUAGCCCCAACCAGCUGACUGCAUGUGAUAGAGCUUACCCUACAUAAUGGGGUGCCAGCUUCAUGCUCAAAGUUUUACAGAAUGGGUUAAAGAUGCAGUGUGGCCGUAGGACUCAGUCCUGGAGUAGUCAUGAGGAAGAAGGUUGGGAGAAAGGGUUUCUUUGGAAACAGGUCUCUUUACUUCCAUUAGUUGCAUUUAGCCUUCAGCCAAAGAGGUGUUUGAAAUAGCCACGGAGCCCAGAAGCACACAUCACACACAAAUUGGCUUUCUGGUUCCAGGUUUGGAAAGGAUCUGCCCAUUAGACUCAAAUUUGAAGAUUCUACUUACUAUGACUCAAUCCCACAGGAACUCCUUUCAUUAGGGUACACAUCACUUGACCAUAAUCCCACUCAAGGAAUGUACAAGUUUUGGAGAUACUGAAGAAAUUCAGGAACUGUUAUCCCUAAAUGUGUUACUUUGGACUUCAAACUAGGGUUCCUCCAGGAAGUGCUUUCUAUUACGUCUGACAAAGAUGAAGUGGGUCCGUGGGGCACUGCUCACCCACUCCUUCCUUCUAUUCCACUUAGUAGCAGCCACCUUAUCCCCACUGACUACUGUCUCUGAGCAGCAAGGGCUGGGGUGGGGCCCAGGGAGUCACAGGGACCUUCUGAAGGGAUGUUCCCAUUUGGUUUGGAAGGGUGGGUGAGACUAAAAAUACCACCUUUGUGACAUAUUUACUCUGCUCUUGUUAAUGCCCCAGAGAGAUUGCCAAGAGUCACUACCACUAAACCUGUGAUUAAACCAUAAUAACCACUUUCAUGUUUAUAAAUUUUGUCCUUGAUAUCAGAGAAGAGUAUUUUUAGGCUAGAACUUGGAGCUAACAAAUCCCAAAGCAGGCAUGUGGAUUUAAGCAAGCAUCUCUCCUUUCGGCUUCCUUCCUUGCACAAGGCAAUAAGGCAGGGGGAAUCAAACUAGGGGGUGUCACCUAUCAUGCCUCAGUCCCAAGGAGACCUUCCCAACCUUCCAUUUGGGUAUUUUGAUGCUGAUCCUACCUUGAUACCUGUGGGAGUUCCACAGAUAGUGAUGAAGUUCAUGAGUAUCUCCCUAAAAUGUGUCAUUCAGACUUCAAGCCGAGGGUGCUUUGGGGCAGUGUUUGCAGAGAGGGGCCUUCUAGAACUUCUUCCAUAGGCCUAAGGAAACUCAGUUGCCAUGAAUCCUCUCUGCAGGAAGGUCAUCAUCCAGGGAGCACAAAUUCAUCCCAGGAGAUAAGUCUGGAGUUUGUUACCUUGCCUGAUACUCUCACCUGAUCUUCUGAGAAUUUUCUCAUUUUUUUCCCCAAAUAAUUUACUUUAUCUUAAGCUGUUCUGUCCAUCAAGAGGAUAUAGAAGCUUCUAGGUUCCACUAGGUUUGGGGAGUGCUGUCUUUCCUGUGAUGUCUCUGUGCAUGUAAUUACACACACACACACACACACACACACACACACACA